RNAcentral lists this ribosomal RNA (486 nucleotides) under Syncephalis sphaerica. Its description in RNAcentral is "eukaryotic LSU rRNA". It matches the Rfam family "Eukaryotic large subunit ribosomal RNA", at positions 1 to 462 of the family's 3401-position model. The record is from RNAcentral. Lineage: Eukaryota; Fungi; Zoopagomycota; Zoopagomycetes; Zoopagales; Piptocephalidaceae.
UCUUAAUCUCAGAUCAGGCAGGAUGACCCGCUGAACUUAAGCAUAUCAGUAAGCGGAGGAAAAGAAACUAACCAGGAUUCCCUUAGUAACGGCGAGUGAAGCGGGAAUAGCCCAAUCUGAAAAGCUAGUCAGCCCUGGAGCUGGUCUCGCAUUGUAGGUUGAUGAAUCGUUUCCUAGUGUUAAACCUUUCAAUUAAAGUUCCUUGGAACAGGACAUCAAAGAGGGUGAUAAUCCCGUGAUUAAUUGAAUGACAUACCAGUUUAAUGCGUCUAUGGAGCGUUUUCUUAGAGUCGGAAUGUUUGGGAUUGCAUUCCAAAGUGGGUGGUAAACUCCAUCUAAGGCUAAAUACUGGCGAGAGACCGAUAGCGAACAAGUACCGUGAGGGAAAGUUGAAAAGCACUCUGGAGAGAGAGUCAAACAGUACGUGAAAUUGCUAGCAGGGAAACGUUGGAUACCAGUACACGGCAAUUAAUGUCAAUGAUCAGU